This is a non-coding RNA of Danio rerio (zebrafish), 837 nucleotides long. The record is from RefSeq and is a predicted model, not a curated record. NCBI's taxonomy places the organism in Eukaryota, Metazoa, Chordata, Actinopteri, Cypriniformes, Danionidae.
CAAAAAUUAAUUAAAAUUUAUUUAAUGAUGAAUUACUGAUGGGGAAAUCAGUGUAAACGUUAUAAAAUAUUUCAACAUUCAAAGACACUAUUUGUGUAUUUUUAAGUAGCCUAUAUUUUUGUGUUGACAUUUUGAGAGUCUUGGUUACAAAUCAAAAGCUACUGAAUCAAUGCGUGAGUCAGUUAAAGUCAACCAACCCUGCAUGGACUGCAAUAGUUUGAUCAGGAUGUAACAUUAGCAGGUGAAUGACCAUCAGUUUGAUCAUGGCUCCUCCCAGCUGAAAGUCAGGUUUGACAUACUAAACAAACUGCUGAAACCUCUCCAAGACCUCCAACACUUAUGACUGAAAAUGAAGUCAGGAGUGUACAUCUGUGUUCUGUGUGGUUGUUUGCUAGCACUGCUACUUAAGAGUUCGGCCAAUGGAGAUAAUGAUUUCACCUUUUUAGCAGAUAUGGAUGAGGACGAAAAAAAGAAUUCGGAUAAUGAUUUCACCUUUUUAGCACAUGAGGAUAAGGAAAAGAAGAUGACCAACAAUACAUUUGUAAAUAAUACCCAAAAUGAAUGGCCUCAAAACAACACACAAGACAUUACUCAAGAGUUACAAAACCCUGAUGACAAGUUACUUUAAAUGAAAUAAAACAACUUAUGCAAACUCAAACAAAACAACAUAAAAUCCUGAUAAAAAUAACAUACCUCACUGUUUGUUGAAUGAUCUUUUUAUCAUUGCAUCUGUAACAAUACAUCUGUGCCAUACUGAAUAAUAAAAUAUUGAGAUAAAUACCUAUAAUUAUAGUACAGUAUAUGAAAUGUAAAAAUAAACAGUGUUCACCAAGUUAA